Molecule: ribosomal RNA, 2923 nt
Filed under: Klebsiella pneumoniae
Lineage: Bacteria; Pseudomonadati; Pseudomonadota; Gammaproteobacteria; Enterobacterales; Enterobacteriaceae
Description: 23S ribosomal RNA
Rfam family: Bacterial large subunit ribosomal RNA
Source: RNAcentral
GGGUUGUGAGGUUAAGCGACUAAGCGUACACGGUGGAUGCCCUGGCAGUCAGAGGCGAUGAAGGACGUGCUAAUCUGCGAAAAGCGUCGGUAAGGUGAUAUGAACCGUUAUAACCGGCGAUGUCCGAAUGGGGAAACCCAGUGCAAUUCGUUGCACUAUCGUUAACUGAAUACAUAGGUUAACGAGGCGAACCGGGGGAACUGAAACAUCUAAGUACCCCGAGGAAAAGAAAUCAACCGAGAUUCCCCCAGUAGCGGCGAGCGAACGGGGAGCAGCCCAGAGUCUGAAUCAGCUUGUGUGUUAGUGGAACGGUCUGGAAAGUCCGACGGUACAGGGUGAUAGUCCCGUACACCAAAAUGCACAGGUUGUGAACUCGAAGAGUAGGGCGGGACACGUGGUAUCCUGUCUGAAUAUGGGGGGACCAUCCUCCAAGGCUAAAUACUCCUGACUGACCGAUAGUGAACCAGUACCGUGAGGGAAAGGCGAAAAGAACCCCGGCGAGGGGAGUGAAAAAGAACCUGAAACCGUGUACGUACAAGCAGUGGGAGCACCUUCGGGUGUGACUGCGUACCUUUUGUAUAAUGGGUCAGCGACUUAUAUUCUGUAGCAAGGUUAACCGUAUAGGGGAGCCGCAGGGAAACCGAGUCUUAACUGGGCGUUAAGUUGCAGGGUAUAGACCCGAAACCCGGUGAUCUAGCCAUGGGCAGGUUGAAGGUUGGGUAACACUAACUGGAGGACCGAACCGACUAAUGUUGAAAAAUUAGCGGAUGACUUGUGGCUGGGGGUGAAAGGCCAAUCAAACCGGGAGAUAGCUGGUUCUCCCCGAAAGCUAUUUAGGUAGCGCCUCGUGAAUUCAUCUUCGGGGGUAGAGCACUGUUUCGGCUAGGGGGUCAUCCCGACUUACCAACCCGAUGCAAACUACGAAUACCGAAGAAUGUUAUCACGGGAGACACACGGCGGGUGCUAACGUCCGUCGUGAAGAGGGAAACAACCCAGACCGCCAGCUAAGGUCCCAAAGUCAUGGUUAAGUGGGAAACGAUGUGGGAAGGCACAGACAGCCAGGAUGUUGGCUUAGAAGCAGCCAUCAUUUAAAGAAAGCGUAAUAGCUCACUGGUCGAGUCGGCCUGCGCGGAAGAUGUAACGGGGCUAAACCAUGCACCGAAGCUGCGGCAGCGACACUAUGUGUUGUUGGGUAGGGGAGCGUUCUGUAAGCCUGCGAAGGUGACCUGUGAGGGUUGCUGGAGGUAUCAGAAGUGCGAAUGCUGACAUAAGUAACGAUAAAGCGGGUGAAAAGCCCGCUCGCCGGAAGACCAAGGGUUCCUGUCCAACGUUAAUCGGGGCAGGGUGAGUCGACCCCUAAGGCGAGGCCGAAAGGCGUAGUCGAUGGGAAACAGGUUAAUAUUCCUGUACUUGGUGUUACUGCGAAGGGGGGACGGAGAAGGCUAUGUUAGCCGGGCGACGGUUGUCCCGGUUUAAGCAUGUAGGCUGAUUGUCCAGGCAAAUCCGGAUAAUCAAGGCUGAGGUGUGAUGACGAGGCACUACGGUGCUGAAGUAACAAAUGCCCUGCUUCCAGGAAAAGCCUCUAAGCAUCAGGUAACAUCAAAUCGUACCCCAAACCGACACAGGUGGUCAGGUAGAGAAUACCAAGGCGCUUGAGAGAACUCGGGUGAAGGAACUAGGCAAAAUGGUGCCGUAACUUCGGGAGAAGGCACGCUGGUGUGUAGGUGAAGUCCCUGCGGAUGGAGCUGAGACCAGUCGAAGAUACCAGCUGGCUGCAACUGUUUAUUAAAAACACAGCACUGUGCAAACACGAAAGUGGACGUAUACGGUGUGACGCCUGCCCGGUGCCGGAAGGUUAAUUGAUGGGGUUAUCCGUAAGGAGAAGCUCUUGAUCGAAGCCCCGGUAAACGGCGGCCGUAACUAUAACGGUCCUAAGGUAGCGAAAUUCCUUGUCGGGUAAGUUCCGACCUGCACGAAUGGCGUAAUGAUGGCCAGGCUGUCUCCACCCGAGACUCAGUGAAAUUGAACUCGCUGUGAAGAUGCAGUGUACCCGCGGCAAGACGGAAAGACCCCGUGAACCUUUACUAUAGCUUGACACUGAACAUUGAGCCUUGAUGUGUAGGAUAGGUGGGAGGCUUUGAAGCGUGGACGCCAGUCUGCGUGGAGCCAACCUUGAAAUACCACCCUUUAAUGUUUGAUGUUCUAACGUUGGCCCCUGACCGGGGUUGCGGACAGUGUCUGGUGGGUAGUUUGACUGGGGCGGUCUCCUCCCAAAGCGUAACGGAGGAGCACGAAGGUUAGCUAAUCCUGGUCGGACAUCAGGAGGUUAGUGCAAUGGCAUAAGCUAGCUUGACUGCGAGCGUGACGGCGCGAGCAGGUGCGAAAGCAGGUCAUAGUGAUCCGGUGGUUCUGAAUGGAAGGGCCAUCGCUCAACGGAUAAAAGGUACUCCGGGGAUAACAGGCUGAUACCGCCCAAGAGUUCAUAUCGACGGCGGUGUUUGGCACCUCGAUGUCGGCUCAUCACAUCCUGGGGCUGAAGUAGGUCCCAAGGGUAUGGCUGUUCGCCAUUUAAAGUGGUACGCGAGCUGGGUUUAGAACGUCGUGAGACAGUUCGGUCCCUAUCUGCCGUGGGCGCUGGAGAAUUGAGGGGGGCUGCUCCUAGUACGAGAGGACCGGAGUGGACGCAUCACUGGUGUUCGGGUUGUCAUGCCAAUGGCACUGCCCGGUAGCUAAAUGCGGAAGAGAUAAGUGCUGAAAGCAUCUAAGCACGAAACUUGCCCCGAGAUGAGUUCUCCCUGAGACUAUAAGUCUCCUGAAGGAACGUUAAAGACGAUGACGUUGAUAGGCCGGGUGUGUAAGCGCAGCGAUGCGUUGAGCUAACCGGUACUAAUGAACCGUGAGGCUUAACCUUACAACGCCGAAG